AAUGUCAAGAUUCGCCCCGCAACCUUUGUUUUCCAGUAUGGGAUCUUCCCUGGCUACGGUCGGUAGGGGGCGUAGGCGCGCCGGCCCGGCUUCCGAGCGCCAUCCGCGCCUGCUAACCUAUCCCUCGGCGUUGGUAGGUGUUGCAGGCCGGCGCGGUGAACAAGCAGGGCGACAGCAUUCUGUGCCGCUGAGCCGCGCGGUCCAGGUGUGCAGCCGCCUGAGCCCGAGCCAGGAGCUCUAGAGAGGGAGGGGGAAGAGCAGACGGUAGAGGAAAAGCCACCGGAGGAAAGGAAAAAAAUUAAAUCAGCAAAUCUAGAAACGUUUUCGCUCGUCAUUCCAAGAGAGGGGGAGAGGAAAAAACAAAACAAAACAAAAAACUUUCAUCUUUUUUUUUUUGCACGUUCAUAAACCUUUUACAUACGUAUUCUCUUUUGUCUCAUAACCGCUGUGAAUUGUACAUUUCUGUGUUUUUUGGAGGUGCAGUUAAACUUUUAAGCUUAAGUGUGACAGGACUGAUAAAUAGAAGAUCAAGAAUAAACCUUUAGAAGGCUACUUUGUGACCAAGGAGCGCAAUUUUUGUUUUGAAGCUUUACUAAUAUACCCCAGAGCAUUGUAGAUAUUUUUUUUUUUGCAUCUAUUGUUUAAAAUAGAUGAUUAUAAUGGGGCAGGGAACUUUCUUUUCUCUGCAAGAAUGUUACAUAUUGUAUAGAUAAUUGAGUGACAUUUCAUACCAUGUAUAUAUAUAGAGAUGUUCUAUAAGUGUGAGAAAGUAUAUGCUUUAAUAGACUACUGUAAUUAUAAGAUAUUUUUAAUUAAAUAUUUUUUGUAAAUAUUAUGUGUGUGUUUUUUUAAUCUAUGCGAAUAUUUCUUUUGGAAAAUAAUUUUUCAGCUCAAUUGGAGAGCUGUUGAUAUCGUGAAUGUCUUUUCUGUUUGACUUUGUUUUUAAUUUGUUUUUGUUUUGCCCAGAAUCUUAGACUCGGAAGUAAAAGUGAUAGGUAGUGUGAUCUUGCAUGACGGCAUGAGAUGUUUAAUCACAAAUAAACUUGUUCGGAGUCCAUUCAAAUGUGCUUUCUUUAACUUAGCUUGAAAUCUUUGUAUUUGAAGUGCAUAUGUUGAAAACAUACCAGUUUUUAAGUGCAGGGUUUUAUAGUGUAAUAUAUAGAGUGUUGAGGGGUGGUUUUUUUUUUGUUUUGUUUUUUGUUUUUAACUGAGGUCAAAAUGGAUUCUGAAUGACUUUGCAAAUAGAAUGGGAAAAUGCUUGGAUCCUUAAGGAGUUUACAAAAUCUGCUGUUUUAUCAGAGUGAAAAAAAUUGCUUGUCACUCUUCAGUUUACACUAACGUAUAAUGUCACAAAGUUUCAUAUCUGUACAGGUUAUUUAAAUCAUACAAAUGAAAAAUAUUCUCUGCUUGCUACCAAAGGACAGACUCUUGGAAAUGAACAUUUUCUGCUUUCCUUCCUCCAAAGAAUAUUAAUUAAUAGGCAACAGUGGGAGAAAAAAAGGCAUAAUGGCAAGUCCUUCAAGCAGGGAUAAAAGAUCUUCAAACAUUAAGUAGACCAAAAAUUCUGAUGACCGCAUCUAGAUUAUUUUUUUAUGAAAAUGAUUUUCACUAUAGCUGUCAGUUACUGCUAAGCUACUGUCCAACCUCUUGUGAUGUGUAACUUUUACAUGUGAGAAUUAAAGUAGAUUUAUCUGCCUUGUACUGUGAUUUCUGGUCUUUUUUUUUUUUUUUUUUUUAAACCUUGAAACAUUUUUAGGACCCUUCACAAGAAAGGCGAUAUUGUCUAGGUUAGAUAAGACCAUCAGGGUUUGUGAACAUUACACAUUUAAUAUGUUGGGUACUUUACACACCAGCUAGAUGGAAUUUUUAGAGUAAAGGAAUUAAGUAGGAUUUAAUUGGGUGCUUUCUAAAUAGUCAACUGUGUGUGUAAUGUGUUCUGUUUGGUUUUUAAGAGGAAAGGAUUUGUUUCAGAUUAUACAAGAAUAAAAGUAUUAUAGACCCAAGGGACUUUUUAUGAGGUCAAAGUCAAAUAUUUAUUUGAAUAUGAAAUAUCAUGGUCCCUAGUAGUCCGCUGAAGUGGCGAGCCUGAAUAGAAAUGAACAGAGUUAAUGUUAGAGGUUGAGAUCAGUCAGAGCAUUUCAGCAUAUCUGCCCCCACUCCCGUUAUAUUUUCUCCUCGGCUCUAUUUUACUGAUCUUGAAUUUUUAGAAUGUUCUAUUUGAUGUUGAACCUUACAAAGUUAAAGGAAUGCUUAUUUAAAUGAGGUUUAUGUUUAUUUUUUGAUAUUAUUCAUUCUUGUCACAUAUCAAGAAGAAAACACUAGAACACUGCUGGAAUUCCAAAUCUGAAGAAUUCUAACGAUUGCAUUCUUUGUUAUUAAAAAGGGCACAAUUCCUCCUUUUUAUUUGGCAGUUUAAUUUCAGUAGGAAGCAUGUCACGUGUGCACUGUUAGUUGGCACAGUGCUUUGUCAUGCCUGACUGCUGAACCCUACCUAAGUCUUUGAGCAGAGUUUAAAACUCACACUGGUGGGCUGUUAACCUCAAAACAAGAGAUUAGAUACAUUUGAUUUUUGAAGAUGAAUGUUGCUCCUUAAAUUUAUCUUGGAGGUGUGAAAAUCCAUUGGAAAAUAAGUGUUACAGAUACUGGUUUCAGAGAGUUGGCAUUUUACUUUUGGCCAUUCAAGCAGCAUUUGAUGUCUAAAGAAACAAAACUAGUUUGUAUUUUUAAAAAAUUACACGUAUAUGAUAGUACAUUCAAGUAACCUGUUGGCUAUAUCCUUUAAGCAGCCAGAUAAUAGAAACAUUUUGUCUUAUUCCAGUUAUUUAGAUACUAAGUUUCACAAAGAAAAAAAAAUCCUCAUUUCUCUCAUUUAAUUUGUAGACUUUCACUGCAUAGGCACGACCAAAGAAUAAGACUCAUUUAAAGUCCCACAAGGAAAAUAGAAAACAAGUAUCCUACACAGCGGAUGUUAUUUCUAAGGUGGUUCUAAAAUUCCUGACAUCUCAUAUUAAAAAGAGAAAAAAUAAUUUUUCAUUUUAAAGAGCUAGUAUUACUUUGAUAUUGUAUAAAUCCUACUCAAGUUUAUUGUCGAGCUUUAACUGCAUUUUUAAAACUUUUGAAAUUUUUGGCCCCCGGAAUCUGUUGUAUUAGAUGCCUUCUAUAACAAUAAAUCUUCACUGAUCAAAAGGUUCUGAAGU
Cavia porcellus (domestic guinea pig) is the source of this 3197-nucleotide long non-coding RNA. The record is from Ensembl. Lineage: Eukaryota; Metazoa; Chordata; Mammalia; Rodentia; Caviidae.